UCCUCCGGGCCUCGCUCGGCUGGAAAUGUAGCGUUUAGGAGGGUCCGUUAACACGCCGCUUCGCUGUCUGCUCAAGUCCAACUUGAACGGGGCCACAAAGAGGGUGCUAUGCCCGUGGAGUAUCGGCUGGUGGCGUGUGGAUCUCUCCUUAGAGUCGGUUUGCUUGAGAGUGCAGACCUAAGUGGGUGGUAAACUCCAUCUAAGGCUAAAUAUGACCACGAGACCGAUAGCGCACAAGUACCGUGAGGGAAAGGUGAAAAGAACUUUGAAGAGAGAGUUCAAGAGUACGUGAAACUGGUAUGGUGUAAGCGGACGGAACUGAAGAUGAGGAACGGAGCGAUUCAUCUUCAUCCGGCCGGGAUGUCUGUUGGUCGAGAUGGUGCGGGCUGCUCGGGUGUUUCGGCACACCGGGUGGGUUCGUGUCACUCGGUCGGCGGGCACUCUUGGUUGGGUGGAGGGCAAUUCGCUCUUAGUAGUGAGUCGCAACUCGUUGGUUGCCGGCCUCAGGGUUCGUGGUGGAGACCGACAUUCGCUUGCGUUCGUCGGACCCGCGUUGUCCCGGCUGGCGACCGACGGUAUCAAUACCGAGUGCAGACUGCUCUUUUGAAGCGACCGCAACCUUAAGUGGUACAUAUAUUCGGUCAGGUCUCACUGGUUUGCGGCUGAAUGUUUUCGGUAACCGUCCGUCCCGUCUUGAAACACGGACCAAGGAGUCUAACAUGUGCGCGAGUCAUUGGGCUCACGAAACUCAAAGGCGAAAUGAAAGUGAAGGCCGUGCACUUGUGCUAGUGCCUUGGGGCGACGGUGGACCCUCACGGGAACACUUGCAGCCCUGGGACGUCACAUCCUCUUGAGGAGUGGCGUACCGAGAGCGUACACGUUGGUACCCGAAAGAUGGUGAACUAUGCAUGGCCAGGAUGAAGCCAGAGGAAACUCUGGUGGAGGUCCGUAGCGAUUCUGACGUGCAAAUCGAUCGUCAGAGCUGUGUAUAGCGUCGAAAGAAUAAUCGAGCCAUCUUCGUAGCUGGUUCCCUCCGAAGUUUCCCUCAGGAUAGCUGGCACUCGAAGGUGGAAACAAGUCUCAUCCGGUAAAGCGAAUGAUUAGAGGCCUUGGGAGCGAAACGCCCUCAACCUAUUCUCAAACUUUAAAUGGGUGAGAGCUCCUGUUUGCUUCGGUGAAGCAGGAGAUAUCUGGAUUAGAGUGCCAAGUGGGCCAUUUUUGGUAAGCAGAACUGGCGCUGUGGGAUGAACCAAACGCGGAGUUAAAGCGCCCAAAUCUACGCUCAUUGGACACCAUGAAAGGCGUUGGUUGCUUAAGACAGCAGGACGGUGGCCAUGGAAGUCGGAAUCCGCUAAGGAGUGUGUAACAACUCACCUGCCGAAGCAACUAGCCCUGAAAAUGGAUGGCGCUAAAGCGUAGUGCUUAUACUCUGCCGUCAGGGCAAAAAGGCGGGGAUUUUAUUCCCGUCACGAAGCUUUGACGAGUAGGAGGGUCGCGUCGGUGAGCGCAGAAGGGUUGGACGUGAGUCUGCCUGGAGCCGCCGAUGGUGCAGAUCUUGGUGGUAGUAGCAAAUACUCUGGAGAGGCCCUGGAGGUCUGAGGUGGAGAAGGGCUUCGUGUGAACAGCCGUUGCACACGAGAGAGUCGAUCCUAAGCCCUAGGCGAAAGCCCAGGUCGAUGGUGUUACUGCUUAAUUGCUCGAGAUGUACACUGUCGUUGCGAAAGGGAAUACGGUACUCAUUCCGUAACCCAGUCUCGGAACCGAUACGCCGGUCCUCGUUACUGGUCCAGGUAACAGGACAUGCCCCAGAGACGCCGUCGGCACCUGUCGGGAGAGUUAUCUUUUCUGUAUAAGCGCGCGUACCCCCUGGAAUCUCUUAAUGAGGAGAUAGGGGGCGGCGUCGCGGAGAGCAUCGCACUUGUGGCGAUGUCGACAGGAUGUUCUCGGACCUUGAAAAUCUGGGUGAGGGCCACGCGAUCUUCCGAACUGGUUCGUACCCAUAUCCGCAGCAGGUCU
RNAcentral lists this ribosomal RNA (2016 nucleotides) under Anaphothrips sudanensis. Its description in RNAcentral is "eukaryotic LSU rRNA". It matches the Rfam family "Eukaryotic large subunit ribosomal RNA", at positions 119 to 1866 of the family's 3401-position model. The record is from RNAcentral. Lineage: Eukaryota; Metazoa; Arthropoda; Insecta; Thysanoptera; Thripidae.